This 791-nucleotide ribosomal RNA is filed under the name uncultured crenarchaeote. RNAcentral describes it as "bacterial SSU rRNA". It matches the Rfam family "Archaeal small subunit ribosomal RNA", at positions 85 to 879 of the family's 1478-position model. Lineage: Archaea; Thermoproteati; Thermoproteota. The record is from RNAcentral.
ACGGCUCAGUAACACGUAGUCAACAUGCCCAGGGGACGUGGAUAACCUCGGGAAACUGAGGAUAAACCGCGAUAGGCCAAGGUUUCUGGAAUGGACAAUGGCUGAAACCUAUAUGGCCCCUGGAUUGGACUGCGGCCGAUCAGGCUGUUGGUGAGGUAAUGGCCCACCAAACCUGUAACCGGUACGGGCUCUGAGAGGAGGAGCCCGGAGAUGGGCACUGAGACAAGGGCCCAGGCCCUAUGGGGCGCAGCAGGCGCGAAACCUCUGCAAUAGGCGAAAGCUUGACAGGGUUACUCUGAGUGAUGCCCGCUAAGGGCAUCUUUUGGUACCUCUAAAAAUGGUGCAGAAUAAGGGGUGGGCAAGUCUGGUGUCAGCCGCCGCGGUAAUACCAGCACCCCGAGUGGUCGGGACGAUUAUUGGGCCUAAAGCAUCCGUAGCCGGUCUUGCAAGUCUUCCGUUAAAUCCAGCUGCUUAACAGAUGGGCUGCGGAGGAUACUACAAGGCUAGGAGGCGGGAGAGGCAAGCGGUACUCAGUGGGUAGGGGUAAAAUCCUCUGAUCCAUUGAAGACCACCAGUGGCGAAGGCGGCUUGCCAGAACGCGCUCGACGGUGAGGGAUGAAAGCUGGGGGAGCAAACCGGAUUAGAUACCCGGGUAGUCCCAGCUGUAAACGAUGCAGACUCGGUGAUGGGUUGGCUUCGCGCCAACCCAGUGCCGCAGGGAAGCCGUUAAGUCUGCCGCCUGGGGAGUACGGUCGCAAGACUGAAACUUAAAGGAAUUGGCGGGGGAGCAC